CCUACGGGUGGCAGCAGUGAGGAAUAUUGGUCAAUGGACGAGAGUCUGAACCAGCCAAGUAGCGUGAAGGAUGACUGCCCUAUGGGUUGUAAACUUCUUUUAUAAAGGAAUAAAACGAGGCACGUGUGCCUUUUUGCAUGUACUUUAUGAAUAAGCAUCGGCUAACUCCGUGCCAGCAGCCGCGGUAAUACGGAGUAUGCGAGCGUUAUCCGGAUUUAUUGGGGUUAAAGGGUGCGCAGGCGGUCUGUUAAGUCAGCGGUCAAAGGCCGGGGCUCAACCCCGGGCCGCCCGUUGAAACGGGCAGUCUCGAGUUGGAGAGAGGUAUGCGGAAUGCGCGGUGUAGCGGUGAAAUGCAUAGAUAUCGCGCAGAACUCCGAUUGCGAAGGCAGCAUGCCGGCUCCACACUGACGCUGAGGCACGAAAGCGUGGGUAUCGAACAGGAUUAGAUACCCCUGUAGUC
Molecule: ribosomal RNA, 460 nt
Filed under: uncultured bacterium
Lineage: Bacteria
Description: partial 16S ribosomal RNA
Rfam family: Bacterial small subunit ribosomal RNA
Source: RNAcentral